Molecule: ribosomal RNA, 1911 nt
Filed under: Triticum aestivum (bread wheat)
Lineage: Eukaryota; Viridiplantae; Streptophyta; Magnoliopsida; Poales; Poaceae
Description: partial small subunit ribosomal RNA
Source: RNAcentral
AUGAAUCACGAAGAUGGCGCUGAUGCUUGGGGUUCUCAAAGGCCAGAAACGCCCCCUUGGCAUGCAUCAGAGUACAGUCAACUCAUCUCUGCAGGGCCGUUGCUGCCACUACUAGAACAGUAUGCAGGCGUAGGUUCUUAUGACCAAAACACUCUUAGGGGGCCCCGUGGCAAGUUCAGUCACAAGGCGCUAACACUGACAAAUAGCCUUCAUGCAGCACGUGGCAUCAGGCAGCACCAAUGUCAUUACGCUGGUGGUAACCCGGCAAACGUCUCGUGGCAAGCUUCACAAAUUGUAGGUGGAGCACGUCAUUAUGGUGUCACAGACCACACAAAAUGGUCAGAUGUAGCACAACAAGGGCCUACAACUACACUGAACAGCGGCGCGGGGACAUCUACGGCGGGGAGCUCUGAGCGCACGGAAGACGCGUUCCACCAGCCAGCAAACAAUCAUGCCACAAACAAUUUCGAGUCAGAGUCGGGAAUGGCAAUCAUUCCAGCAAUGCCGACAAGCACCCCUUUGAACACAAGCACUGGCAACACUCAAGUAGAUGGAACUGCCGCCGAUACUGAAGUGAAUGAUGAAACUGACGACGACGCACAAGGGGAUGAACAUGGUGGGCAAUUAGAGAUCGUGGUACCUCAACCACCGUACAUUGGGCAGAGAUUUGAAUCGUUCGAACAAGCAAAGGAAUACUACCAGACAUAUGCAAAGUUCCAUGGAUUUGCGGUCAACACCGAGUACCAUAGGAAAAUUAAGAAAACUAACGAUUACAGCAGAGGUAAGAUGAGGUGCCACAAGGCACGGAGGAACAAGAAGGGGAAAGGUGUUGCGCCUGUCGUUCUGGAACGAAAGAGAGGUAUCAUUCUCAAGACCGAGUGCCCUGUCCGGUGUAAGCUAAACGUAGAUGGAGCACAGUGGAUGGUCAAUGAAUAUUUUGACGAGCACAACCACCAACUCAUAAAUAAGUUCGACCUGGUAAAAUUUCUGACCGCCCACAGAGGGUUCACCCCCGUCGAAAGGCAAUUCGUAAAGCUGCUACAUGAUUGUAACGUCGGUCCAUCAAGAAUGGUACAGAUACUAUCUCUCAUCCACAGCAAAAAGGGGACUCUGAGUAGCACGCCGUACAUACCAGCUGACAGGCAAAUGAGCAAGAUAUACACCAACAAGAUAUUUAACAAAUUCCAGGAAGAAAUAAAGCGUGCCAGCAUGUUCACGGCUUUCCAGGUGGACGAACAUACGUUCAAGGUGUGUUCUAUUUUGGGCACGUCAGAUUCAAAACCUGAAGACCCGGACAAAGGAAGGAACUACUUCGUCAAAGCCUCGAUAGGCGAAGGCGAGUACUACUGCCAAUGCUGCAAGUUCGAAUGGGACGGCAUUGUGUGCUGUCACAUACUAAAAGUAAUGGACAUGAAUGCUGUGACACGGAUGCCCCGCCAUUUCAUAAGGCGGCGAUGGACUUGGGACGCUGGCGACGCGUUGGCGCCGCAGACAACACACGCAGUUCUGGCUGUGCAUGACGAGAGACCUGAGUCAACCAUGGAAGCCGUGAGGCACGUUGUGCUGACAAAGAACUAUGCUGAGCUAAUUGAUGAAGCGUGCAAGAGUGAUGAGACAGCGAGAGUCGCAGAAAAACACAAGAAGGCACUGAAAAGAGAGCUUGAUGAGAUCAAGAAGAGGAAAGCUGAGGAAGCCUUACACCGGUUCCCUCGCACAUCAAGUGUGCCUUCAUCCAUGGGGCCAUCAUCUGAAAACUCGGAGAUAGGAUCUGGAACAGCAAGCACACAGACCCAGGUCAGGAACCCACCCCGUUCUAUCACAAAGGGUCGUCCAAGAGAGAUAAGGUACAAGUCGGGAUUGGGGAUCCAAGCAAAACACAAGAAAACGAAGAAAGGGGCGGGCAAUCCAUGA